RNAcentral lists this ribosomal RNA (330 nucleotides) under Triticum aestivum (bread wheat). Its description in RNAcentral is "partial small subunit ribosomal RNA". The record is from RNAcentral. Lineage: Eukaryota; Viridiplantae; Streptophyta; Magnoliopsida; Poales; Poaceae.
AUGCCGCUGCCAGAACAUGUCCUGCUCCACCGCCGCUGCCAUAGGCACCGUUUUCUUGAGCUGCCACAGGCUGGAGCCUCUGCCGGUGGAGAAGGAGGCGACAUGGACUGCCUGCUCUGGGUCUACGACUACAUCGUCGAGUUCUUCCAAUACAAGGACAUCCUGCCCGACGGCUCUCAACACGUGAGGAGAUCAUGGAUGGCUUUUAGAAGACCGUCUUCUGGUACUUUCGAGACAAGAGUCACAAGAAUAGUUACGACGACUUGGCGCCCUCACGUCCGGCAAGACACUGGGGCGAGGAGAGGUGGUGGAUGCCCGGGCCAUGCAUGA